Molecule: ribosomal RNA, 687 nt
Filed under: uncultured Lachnospiraceae bacterium
Lineage: Bacteria; Bacillati; Bacillota; Clostridia; Lachnospirales; Lachnospiraceae
Description: bacterial SSU rRNA
Rfam family: Bacterial small subunit ribosomal RNA
Source: RNAcentral
GACGAACGCUGGCGGCGCGCCUAACACAUGCAAGUCGAACGAGCGAGAGAGAGCUUGCUUUCUCGAGCGAGUGGCGAACGGGUGAGUAACGCGUGAGGAACCUGCCUCAAAGAGGGGGACAACAGUUGGAAACGACUGCUAAUACCGCAUAAGCCCACGGGUCGGCAUCGACCAGAGGGAAAAGGAGCAAUCCGCUUUGAGAUGGCCUCGCGUCCGAUUAGCUAGUUGGUGAGGUAACGGCCCACCAAGGCGACGAUCGGUAGCCGGACUGAGAGGUUGAACGGCCACAUUGGGACUGAGACACGGCCCAGACUCCUACGGGAGGCAGCAGUGGGGAAUAUUGCACAAUGGGGGAAACCCUGAUGCAGCGACGCCGCGUGGAGGAAGAAGGUCUUCGGAUUGUAAACUCCUGUUGUUGAGGAAGAUAAUGACGGUACUCAACAAGGAAGUGACGGCUAACUACGUGCCAGCAGCCGCGGUAAAACGUAGGUCACAAGCGUUGUCCGGAAUUACUGGGUGUAAAGGGAGCGCAGGCGGGAAGACAAGUUGGAAGUGAAAUCCAUGGGCUCAACCCAUGAACUGCUUUCAAAACUGUUUUUCUUGAGUAGUGCAGAGGUAGGCGGAAUUCCCGGUGUAGCGGUGGAAUGCGUAGAUAUCGGGAGGAACACCAGUGGCGAAGGCGGCCUA